UGGCAUAUGGGUUCCCUGGUUCAUUGCUCCCUAAGAACCAGAUAUUCAGACCCCUGGCUGCGAUCCCCUCCCCCAAGCACUCUGCAUCCGUCUUUUUGGAAACAACGUUCCUUGGGAAACAGCUCCGCAGGGCGAAGGCACCCCAGCUCUCCGUCACUAUGGCAACCCAACCCCUCCACACAUCCCUGAUUUCCAGAGGCUUGUUGCUGCGAGACAGACUCCGCCCCCACCCCAAAGCAGUCCCGCUGAAGCUUGAAGGAGUUAAAUCUGAAUCCUGGGGGAGGAAGUCUAAACCCAGGCGUUCUGGCCCCUCCUCCUUCCAUCCCUAGUUCAGGCUUCCCACUGCGGGGGUGCAAAGACCACAAGGCCUGGCUUCCUGCAGGCCUGGACACCAGGUCCUUGAGGACUGGGAGCUACAUCGCAGUUGGUAGUGGCUGGAGGCCUGGAUUCCUGGGUCCUGAGAGCCUGUGAGGACCCUUAUUUAUUUGGGUCCGCGUCGGGUCCUGCGGCCCUGUCCCUCCCCUUCCCCCAUCCCCCAGGACCUGGCCCGGCCUCACCUCGGCCGCACCGGGGCUCCCACCGGCCAGGCUCCCGACGGCGAGCUGCGCGCGCAGAAGCAGAAGCAAGAGUGGCAGCGGCA
This is a long non-coding RNA of Cavia porcellus (domestic guinea pig), 640 nucleotides long. RefSeq lists it as uncharacterized. The transcript has 2 exons. Lineage: Eukaryota; Metazoa; Chordata; Mammalia; Rodentia; Caviidae. The record is from RefSeq and is a predicted model, not a curated record.